UACGUAGGGUGCGAGCGUUAAUCGGAAUUACUGGGCGUAAAGUGUGCGCAGGCGGCAGAGCAAGUCGAGUGUGAAAGCCCCGGGCUUAACUUGGGAAUUGCGCUCGAAACUACUUUGCUGGAGUGUGGCAGAGGAAGGUGGAAUUCCACGUGUAGCGGUGAAAUGCGUAGAGAUGUGGAGGAACACCAAUGGCGAAGGCAGGGUCCUGGCUGGCACCUGACGCUCAUGUGCGAAAGCCAGGGGAGCGAACGGG
Molecule: ribosomal RNA, 253 nt
Filed under: uncultured bacterium
Lineage: Bacteria
Description: partial 16S ribosomal RNA
Rfam family: Bacterial small subunit ribosomal RNA
Source: RNAcentral